CGAAACCCAUUUUGCUUUCAAAGCAAAGCAAAUAGACCCUGAAAGUUUUCUUUUCCACUUUGAUUUCGGAAAGAAAAUCAGAGCAAACGUAUCGAUCUUGUUGAACGAUCUAUAGCCAUGGUUGUAGAUCGAGUGGUUGGAGUUUAGCGAGUGGACUCAGCUGGUGCUUUUCUGUUGGAGUAUACCGAGUGGACUCGGUUGAUCAAAGCAUAUGAUGACAAGGGAAUCGUCGACGAACCUACCUUGAGAAAUCGAGAUGGACAUCUUCUCUAGACUUCCAGUUAAAUCUCUUUUGAGAUUUAGAUGGAUGGAUUUCAGAUUUGGGGCUUUCGAAGAAUCUUUGUAUGUACUUUUUUCCCAUAUUUUGGUGAUGCCCCUGUUGAGGUGUGGUUGACGAAGGAAUAUGGUGUGAUGGCAUCUUGGACUAAGUUAAUCUCUAUCGCAUAUCACAUGGACACUCCCUUCGCACCGUUAUGUUUCUUGAGAAAUGGUGAACUUCUACUGAUGACUAGCGGUGAUCGGUCAAGACAUCGGGCAAACUUUGGAUCAUACAAUUCUAAAGAAAAAACAUUUACGAAAAUUUGUAAUUGUCCUUUUUCUCAAGCGGUUUUGUAUGUGGAGAGUCUAGUUUCACUUAAUAGCAUUGAUGAGAAUGGCGAGUUUCCCGUGCAGGGGCCAAUCCCAAAAGCAGUGAUGGGGCCAAUCCCAAAAGCAGUGAUGAUGAUGUUGGCGUGGUUGAUUUACAUUUUGUGGUUUUUCAUUCCCUGCCAAUAGAUGGAUGUUGAAUCUUGGAUGUCAUACUUGGAAAGGAAAAACUGUUUGCCUUCGACAUUAUACCUAAAUACUGAUCUGCAAUUAGUGUGCUGAUUUUCUUUUUUUUCCCUGGUGAAUGGUAUGUUGAAAAUCUAUGUUAGUUAUAUAUUGAAAAUUAGACAAAGACGAUUAAACUA
This is a long non-coding RNA of Cornus florida, 950 nucleotides long. RefSeq lists it as uncharacterized. NCBI's taxonomy places the organism in Eukaryota, Viridiplantae, Streptophyta, Magnoliopsida, Cornales, Cornaceae. The transcript is spliced from 2 exons. The record is from RefSeq and is a predicted model, not a curated record.